CUGCACCAACUUAACUUGUUAAGUAGAACACAAAAGAGUGAAAUAAGUUUAGGCAACCAUAAAUUUUUACAGAUUGAAUGAGGCUAUUUCCACCAAAUACAAGAAUGUUUGGGGACCAAAAAGUCCAUAAACCAUAAUAAAGUAGUUGGAAGUAUUAAACAAUACUCCAAAAUAUUUCAAAAAUUUAAAACAUCGGAGAAAAUGGCAGUUCGAGCGUAGUUUUCACUUCAGUCAUCCCUCUAGUAGGAGCAAAAGCACCAUCCCUGCAUUCCCCUAAUACCCAAUGCUCCCUCUCUUACACACACACACAUACAACUACUAAUCCUCGUUCUAAUUAGGGAAGAAUGUCACCUUUACAUUCAGUUAAAUUCCUAUUGAAAAUAAUAGCUGGAAUAAGCCACCUCAAAGUGAGAAACUGGAAACUUGAUUUUAAAUAAGCCAUCACCCAAGAAUGAUAAAGGGCACUAGUUGUUACGGUCCCAUCCCAUUAAAUGACCAAGUUAAAAGGAUAUCUCACUAGAAUUCAAACCAGAAAUCAUUUUCUUUGCGCAUAUUGCCCCCAGCAAAACCAACAGGAGCAUGAUCAAAUAUAAAGAUCCAAACCCAGAUCUAAAUCAAACCCAAGAACAUCUAUGCAUUGAUGAGGAAAAAGAGACUUAC
RNAcentral lists this unclassified non-coding RNA (660 nucleotides) under Hevea brasiliensis (rubber tree). The record is from RNAcentral. Lineage: Eukaryota; Viridiplantae; Streptophyta; Magnoliopsida; Malpighiales; Euphorbiaceae.